CCAACGGCACUUUUCAGUGCCAUGCAAACAUCAUAGAAGAGCACUU
Danio rerio (zebrafish) is the source of this 46-nucleotide non-coding RNA. The record is from Rfam. NCBI's taxonomy places the organism in Eukaryota, Metazoa, Chordata, Actinopteri, Cypriniformes, Danionidae.